AAAUUGAAGAGUUUGAUCAUGGCUCAGAUUGAACGCUGGCGGCAGGCCUAACACAUGCAAGUCGAACGGUAACAGGAAGCAGCUUGCUGUUUCGCUGACGAGUGGCGGACGGGUGAGUAAUGUCUGGGAAACUGCCUGAUGGAGGGGGAUAACUACUGGAAACGGUGGCUAAUACCGCAUAACGUCGCAAGACCAAAGAGGGGGACCUUCGGGCCUCUUGCCAUCAGAUGUGCCCAGAUGGGAUUAGCUUGUUGGUGAGGUAACGGCUCACCAAGGCGACGAUCCCUAGCUGGUCUGAGAGGAUGACCAGCCACACUGGAACUGAGACACGGUCCAGACUCCUACGGGAGGCAGCAGUGGGGAAUAUUGCACAAUGGGCGCAAGCCUGAUGCAGCCAUGCCGCGUGUAUGAAGAAGGCCUU
Molecule: ribosomal RNA, 421 nt
Filed under: Salmonella enterica
Lineage: Bacteria; Pseudomonadati; Pseudomonadota; Gammaproteobacteria; Enterobacterales; Enterobacteriaceae
Description: bacterial SSU rRNA
Rfam family: Bacterial small subunit ribosomal RNA
Source: RNAcentral